RNAcentral lists this ribosomal RNA (399 nucleotides) under uncultured Actinomycetes bacterium. Its description in RNAcentral is "bacterial SSU rRNA". It matches the Rfam family "Bacterial small subunit ribosomal RNA", at positions 9 to 417 of the family's 1533-position model. The record is from RNAcentral. Lineage: Bacteria; Bacillati; Actinomycetota; Actinomycetes.
GAGUUUGAUCGUGGCUCAGGACAAACGCUGGCGGCGUGCUUAACACAUGCAAGUCGAACGGUUUACCUUCGGGUAGAUAGUGGCGGACGGGUGAGUAACACGUAGUUGACCUACCCCUCGGCGGGGAAUAACUCCUCGAAAGAGGUGCUAAUACCGCAUACGCUCACAGUUGUUGGAUUGUGAGGAAACGCGAGAGCGACCGAGGGAGGGGACUGCGGCGGAUUAGCUAGUUGGUGGGGUAAAGGCCUACCAAGGCGACGAUCCGUAGCUGGUCUGAGAGGGCGACCGGCCACACUGGGACUGAGACACGGCCCAGACUCCUACGGGAGGCAGCAGUGGGGAAUAUUGCGCAAUGGGCGAAAGCCUGACGCAGCAACGCCGCGUGAGGGAUGACGGCCU